GCAAGUCUGAGCCAGCCAUGCCGCGUGAAGGAUGAAGGUCCUCUGGAUUGUAAACUUCUUUUAUCUGGGACGAAAACGGGAUUUUUAUCUCAAUUGACGGUACCAGAGGAAUAAGCACAGGCUAACUCCGUGCCAGCAGCCGCGGUAAUACGGAGGGUGCGAGCGUUAUCCGGAUUUACUGGGUUUAACGGGUGCGUAGGUGGGCUUAUAAGUCAGUGGUGAAAUCUCCGAGCUUAACUUGGAAACUGCCGGUGAUACUAUAGGUCUUGAAUUAUCUGGAGGUAUGCGUAAUAUGUCAUGUAGCUGUGAAAUGCUUAGAUAUGACAUAGAACACCAAAUGCGAAGGCAGCUUACUACAUAUAAAUUGACGCUGAGGCACGAAAGCGUGGGGAUCAAACA
This 399-nucleotide ribosomal RNA is filed under the name uncultured bacterium. RNAcentral's name for it is "bacterial SSU rRNA". It matches the Rfam family "Bacterial small subunit ribosomal RNA", at positions 377 to 774 of the family's 1533-position model. The record is from RNAcentral.